Molecule: ribosomal RNA, 255 nt
Filed under: uncultured bacterium
Lineage: Bacteria
Description: partial 16S ribosomal RNA
Rfam family: Bacterial small subunit ribosomal RNA
Source: RNAcentral
UACAUGGGGUGCAAACGUUGCUCGGAAUUAUUGGGCGUAAAGCGCACGUAGGCGGUUCGUUAAGUCGGAUGUGAAAGCCCUCGGCUCAACUGAGGAAGUGCACCCGAAACUGGCGAGCUUGAGUACGAAAGAGGAUCGCGGAAUUCCCGGUGUAGAGGUGAAAUUCGUAGAUAUCGGGAGGAACACCGGUGGCGAAGGCGGCGAUCUGGGUCGAUACUGACGCUGAGGUGCGAAAAGCGUGGGGAGCAAACAGGG